Small nuclear RNA from Schistocerca nitens (vagrant locust), 199 nucleotides. RefSeq annotates it as U2 spliceosomal RNA. Lineage: Eukaryota; Metazoa; Arthropoda; Insecta; Orthoptera; Acrididae. The transcript has a single exon. The record is from RefSeq and is a predicted model, not a curated record.
CUGUCCUCUCUGUCCUAGGUGGCCCCGAUGGAUUUGGCUAAGAUGACAGUGUAGUAUAUGUUCUUAUCAUCUUAAUAUCUGUUACGUCCUGCAUCACAAGACCAGAAUAUUAAACUCAUUUUUGGCGCAUGACGGACUGCUGGGGGCUUACUCCACUUCUGUCGCGGGAUCGGAAAGCCGGCACGGAAGCUCAGCGUGU